This 425-nucleotide ribosomal RNA is filed under the name uncultured bacterium. RNAcentral's name for it is "bacterial SSU rRNA". It matches the Rfam family "Bacterial small subunit ribosomal RNA", at positions 359 to 776 of the family's 1533-position model. The record is from RNAcentral.
GAAUCAUUCGCAAUGGGCGAAAGCCUGACGGUGCGACGCCGCGUGAAGGAUGAAGGUCUUCGGAUCGUAAACUUCUGUCAUUUGAGAACAAGUGUCGAAGCAAUAACUGGCUCCGAUUUGAUAGUACCAAAAGAGGAAGAGACGGCUAACUCUGUGCCAGCAGCCGCGGUAAUACAGGGGUCUCAAGCGUUGUUCGGAUUCAUUGGGCGUAAAGGGUGCGUAGGCGGCGCCGUAAGUCGGAUGUGAAAUCCCGAAGCUCAACUUCGGAACUGCAUUCGAUACUGCGGUGCUGGAGGACUGGAGAGGAGAUCGGAAUUCAUGGUGUAGCAGUGAAAUGCGUAGAUAUCAUGAGGAAGACCAGUGGCGAAGGCGGAUCUCUGGACAGUUCCUGACGCUGAGGCACGAAGGCUAGGGUAGCGAACGGG